Coprobacillus sp. CAG:698 is the source of this 104-nucleotide non-coding RNA. Lineage: Bacteria; Bacillati; Bacillota; Erysipelotrichia; Erysipelotrichales; Coprobacillaceae. The record is from Rfam.
UAUAAUAAAUCGAAGUUUAAUUGUAUAAAUUCGAUAAUAUGGUUCGAAAGUCUCUACCAUGUCACCAAUGUAACGACAUGACUACAAUGAAAUCUAAUUGGAAG